RNAcentral lists this non-coding RNA (436 nucleotides) under Lasius niger. RNAcentral's name for it is "Eukaryotic small subunit ribosomal RNA". It matches the Rfam family "Eukaryotic small subunit ribosomal RNA", at positions 1272 to 1831 of the family's 1831-position model. Lineage: Eukaryota; Metazoa; Arthropoda; Insecta; Hymenoptera; Formicidae. The record is from Rfam by way of RNAcentral.
GGGAGUAGUUUAAAAGCGAGACACCCACGCAUUCUUCGUUCUCACCAUCUAGCAGCGAAAUUCAAUCUCACGUUCGUAUCAUAAUGAUCGUACGUUAGAUGUUUUGGGCCGCGCUACACUGAAGGAAUCAGCGUGUGUUUCCUGGCCGAAAGGCUCGGGUAACCCGCUGAACCUCCUUCGUGCUAUAGAUUGGGGCUUGCAAUUGUUCCCCAUGAACAAGGAAUUCCCACUAAAUGCGAGUCAUAAGCUCGCGUUGAUUACGUCCCUGCCCUUUGUAUCGUACACCCUCGCUACUACCGAUUGAAUGAUUUAGUGAGGUCUUGCCGGACUGAUGCGAGGCAAUGUCUCGGCAUUGCCGAUGUUGCCGGGAAGAUGACCAAACAUGAUCAUUUAGAGGAAGUAGAAGUCGUAAAACAAGGUAAUACGAAGGUAAUUA